RNAcentral lists this ribosomal RNA (657 nucleotides) under uncultured bacterium. Its description in RNAcentral is "partial 16S ribosomal RNA". It matches the Rfam family "Bacterial small subunit ribosomal RNA", at positions 796 to 1451 of the family's 1533-position model. The record is from RNAcentral.
CACGCCGUAAACGAUGAGUGCUAGGUGUUAGGCCCUUUCCGGGGCUUAGUGCCGGAGCUAACGCAAUAGCACUCCGCCUGGGGAGUACGACCGCAAGGUUGAAACUCAAAGGAAUUGACGGGGGCCCGCACAAGCGGUGGAGCAUGUGGUUUAAUUNGAAGCAACGCGAAGAACCUUACCAGGUCUUGACAUCCCGAUGCUAUUNUUAGAGAUAGGAAGUUACUUCGGCACAUCGGAGACAGGUGGUGCAUGGUUGUCGUCAGCUCGUGUCGUGAGAUGUUGGGUUAAGUCCCGCANCGANNNCNNCCNCNNUNNUNUUAGUNNCCAUCAUUAAGUUGGGCACUCUAGCGAGACUGCCGGUAAUAAACCGGAGGAAGGUGGGGAUGACGUCAAAUCAUCAUGCCCCUUAUGACCUGGGCUACACACGUGCUACAAUGGUCGGUACAACGAGUUGCGAGCCGGUGACGGCAAGCUAAUCUCUGAAAGCCGAUCUCAGUUCGGAUUGGAGGCUGCAACUCGCCUCCAUGAAGUCGGAAUCGCUAGUAAUCGCGGAUCAGCACGCCGCGGUGAAUACGUUCCCGGGCCUUGUACACACCGCCCGUCACACCACGAGAGUUUGUAACACCCGAAGUCGGUGAGGUANCCUUUUAGGGGCCA